This 425-nucleotide ribosomal RNA is filed under the name uncultured bacterium. RNAcentral describes it as "bacterial SSU rRNA". It matches the Rfam family "Bacterial small subunit ribosomal RNA", at positions 356 to 772 of the family's 1533-position model. The record is from RNAcentral.
GGGGAAUUUUUCGCAAUGGGCGCAAGCCUGACGAAGCAACGCCGCGUGGAGGAUGAAGGCCUUCGGGUCGUAAACUCCUGUCGACCGGGACGAAAGCAGUCUGGCAGAUAACUCCAGGCUGUUGACUGUACCGGUGGAGGAAGCCACGGCUAACUCUGUGCCAGCCGCCGCGGUAAUACAGCGGUGGCAAGCGUUGUUCGGAAUUACUGGGCGUAAAGGGCGCGUAGGCGGUCCGAUAAGUCCUGUGUGAAAUCCCUCGGCUCAACUGAGGAACUGCACGGGAGACUGUCGGGCUUGAGUUCGGGAGAGGGAAGCGGAAUUCCGGGUGUAGCGGUGAAAUGCGUAGAUAUCCGGAGGAACACCGGUGGCGAAGGCGGCUUCCUGGACCGACACUGACGCUGAGGCGCGAAAGCUAGGGGAGCAAA